CCUCAAAUCAGGUAGGACUACCCGCUGAACUUAAGCAUAUCAAUAAGCGGAGGAAAAGAAACUAACGAGGAUUCCCCUAGUAACUGCGAGUGAAGCGGGAAGAGCUCAAAUUUAAAAUCUGGCAGUUUUGCUGUCCGAGUUGUAAUCUAGAGAAGUGUUUUCCGCGCUGGACCGUGUACAAGUCUCUUGGAAUGGAGCGUCGUAGAGGGUGACAAUCCCGUCUUUGACACGGACUGCCGGUGCUUUGGUGAUGCGCUCUCAAAGAGUCGAGUUGUUUGGGAAUGCAGCUCAAAAUGGGUGGUAAACUCCAUCUAAAGCUAAAUACAGGCGAGAGACCGAUAGCGAACAAGUACCGUGAGGGAAAGAUGAAAAGAACUUUGAAAAGAGAGUUAAACAGUACGUGAAAUUGUUGAAAGGGAAACGAUUCAAGUCAGCCGCGUUGGUCGGAAAUCAACCUCACACUCUUGUGAGGCUCACUUUCUGGUUGACGGGUCAGCAUCAAUUUUGACCGUCGGAUAAAGUCCUGGGGAAUGUGGCAUCUUUGGAUGUGUUAUAGCCCCUUGUCGCAUGCGAUGGUUGGGAUUGAGGAACGCAGCACGCCGUCAAGGUCGGGGCCUUCGGGCUCACGUACACGUGCUUUGGAUGCUGGCAUAAU
Molecule: ribosomal RNA, 655 nt
Filed under: uncultured Basidiomycota
Lineage: Eukaryota; Fungi; Basidiomycota
Description: LSU rRNA
Rfam family: Eukaryotic large subunit ribosomal RNA
Source: RNAcentral